This is a long non-coding RNA of Cornus florida, 168 nucleotides long. RefSeq lists it as uncharacterized. The transcript has 3 exons. The record is from RefSeq and is a predicted model, not a curated record. Lineage: Eukaryota; Viridiplantae; Streptophyta; Magnoliopsida; Cornales; Cornaceae.
AGAGUGUUGAAGAAAAGAUUUCUCGGCAUGCUCAAGAUGGAACAAUCACCACCAGGGAUAUUGUGGUGCAGUUCAAUGCUGACGCGGCGGAUGGAAUGCCUUGGAAGUUUAUUCCCACACAACGAGAGGUAAAGGUGAAGCCGGGAGAAAGUGCCCUUGCAUUUUAUA